Molecule: ribosomal RNA, 245 nt
Filed under: uncultured Staphylococcus sp.
Lineage: Bacteria; Bacillati; Bacillota; Bacilli; Caryophanales; Staphylococcaceae
Description: partial 16S ribosomal RNA
Rfam family: Bacterial small subunit ribosomal RNA
Source: RNAcentral
UGGGUAACCUACCUAUAAGACUGGGAUAAACUUCGGGAAACCGGAGCUAAUACCGGAUAAUAUUUCGAACCGCAUGGUUCGAUAGUGAAAGGUGGUUUUGCUAUCACUUAUAGAUGGACCCGCGCCGUAUUAGCUAGUUGGUAAGGUAACGGCUUACCAAGGCGACGAUACGUAGCCGACCUGAGAGGGUGAUCGGCCACACUGGAACUGAGACACGGUCCAGACUCCUACGGGAGGCAGCAGAU